GUGACAGCCGCCGCGGUAAUACGUAGGGUGCAAGCGUUGUCCGGAAUCAUUGGGCGUAAAGCGCGUGUAGGCGGCUUGGUAAGUCAGCUGUGAAAGCCCAGGGCUCAACCCUGGGAUGCCGGUUGAUACUGCCAAGCUCGAGUCCGGAAGAGGAGUGUGGAAUUCCUGGUGUAGCGGUGAAAUGCGCAGAUAUCAGGAGGAACACCAAUGGCGAAGGCAGCACUCUGGGACGUGACUGACGCUGAGACGCGAAAGCGUGGGGAGCAAACAGGAUUAGAAACCCUCGUAGUCC
Molecule: ribosomal RNA, 292 nt
Filed under: uncultured bacterium
Lineage: Bacteria
Description: partial 16S ribosomal RNA
Rfam family: Bacterial small subunit ribosomal RNA
Source: RNAcentral